RNAcentral lists this transfer RNA (71 nucleotides) under Ictidomys tridecemlineatus (thirteen-lined ground squirrel). Its description in RNAcentral is "Spermophilus tridecemlineatus (thirteen-lined ground squirrel) tRNA". It matches the Rfam family "tRNA". Rfam says of the family: Transfer RNA (tRNA) molecules are approximately 80 nucleotides in length. Their secondary structure includes four short double-helical elements and three loops (D, anti-codon, and T loops). Further hydrogen bonds mediate the characteristic L-shaped molecular structure. tRNAs have two regions of fundamental functional importance: the anti-codon, which is responsible for specific mRNA codon recognition, and the 3' end, to which the tRNAs corresponding amino acid is attached (by aminoacyl-tRNA synthetases). tRNAs cope with the degeneracy of the genetic code in two manners: having more than one tRNA (with a specific anti-codon) for a particular amino acid; and 'wobble' base-pairing, i.e. permitting non-standard base-pairing at the 3rd anti-codon position. The record is from Rfam by way of RNAcentral. Lineage: Eukaryota; Metazoa; Chordata; Mammalia; Rodentia; Sciuridae.
GUGGCUGUGGCUCAGUGGUAGAGUGCUUGCCUAGCAUGUAUGAGGCCCUGGGUUUGAUCCUCAGCACCACA